CGCUUCACAAUAAACAAACAAUGGUUUCAAGAUUUUCGCAUGACGAACCCCGGACACCGUGCAAUUAGAAGCUUGCAAGAGUACGAGGCCGCGCGCUUAAAUGGAUUCAGAAAUCCUUCAUUUUAAAGUUAAAUAGAAGAUCUCGAUAGCCAUGGAUGGAAUUGGCCCUGUACUGGGUUUACUUCGGAGAGUCGGAGACAGAUGUUUCACCACGUCAUUGUGAUGGCCCAUCACCGAUCCUAAUGACGAAGAUCAUGGAGCUGGAGGAGGAAGAUCAACCAUUGUUCCUGAAUCAAAAUCCUACCUCCACACCGUGUCUAUGCCUAGGUUUUCACAGCGAUCGGUGUUGCUUUAUUUGAUGAACUCCUUAUGAUGGGGAACUGCAAUGCCUUAGAACAAAUUAUAGUCCUUUAAGAGAGAAUGGAGAGUGAAUCGAAUCCAUUGUCUAGCAAAUGGUGGACGUCAAGACAACAAGUUCAAUCACAGAUGGGUUGGUUUAUAUGAAGGAGGAACAUUCUUCAUUCUUCUUAAUUACAAUGAAAUCAUUUACCUUUGGGUGUUGGCAUAGUGUUUCAGUACGAGGAGUCAGGAUGUCAAGAAUGCAAAAUGAAAAUGCUCCCCAGGUUAAGGAGGAGCGAGGAUGCAGAGUUACGAGGAGUGGGAAGAGUUGUACACUGGGGGGGCACCAUUUGAAUCCAAAGCUUUCUUGCUCUAUCAAAAUGCAUAAAAUAAGAACUAGAAGACCUUUACACAUGAUCUCCUGACGAGCAGUAUUAAUCAGCGGCAGUGUUGAUGUGCGCUAACCAAUGAGUCAGGAGUUAGAGGUACAGAAAGGUGGAUGAUGAUGGUGUAAAUGCAAGUUGGUGGUAAGAAGGCGGGAGUUUAUAGCGCUAUCAAGGGUCCACAACUCAUAAGCGUAUCAAGCAUGAAACUCUCCUCUGUUAUGGAUCUUGGUUUUCUCUUUGCCGUGAUGCAAUGCGGCUGAUAUUUCGAAUUGCCGGCUGUUGAAUUAAUCUGAUUGUUGGUUAGUUGUUAAGUUACAAUAAUUACCUGGCAGUAGACAGCAAGUAGGAGGUGAAGGUGUGGCUAAUAGAUGAAUGUGCAUGCAGGUAGAGCGUUAUAGGAGAAAUAAAGUUGGCGAUGGCGCCGGGAGUGGGAGGGG
Momordica charantia (bitter melon) is the source of this 1162-nucleotide long non-coding RNA. RefSeq lists it as uncharacterized. NCBI's taxonomy places the organism in Eukaryota, Viridiplantae, Streptophyta, Magnoliopsida, Cucurbitales, Cucurbitaceae. The record is from RefSeq and is a predicted model, not a curated record.